Molecule: ribosomal RNA, 1160 nt
Filed under: Salmonella enterica
Lineage: Bacteria; Pseudomonadati; Pseudomonadota; Gammaproteobacteria; Enterobacterales; Enterobacteriaceae
Also listed under: 1 other name
Description: partial 23S ribosomal RNA
Rfam family: Bacterial large subunit ribosomal RNA
Source: RNAcentral
GGUCGAGUCGGCCUGCGCGGAAGAUGUAACGGGGCUAAACCAUGCACCGAAGCUGCGGCAGCGACACUGUGUGUUGUUGGGUAGGGGAGCGUUCUGUAAGCCUGUGAAGGUGUGUCGUGAGGCAUGCUGGAGGUAUCAGAAGUGCGAAUGCUGACAUAAGUAACGAUAAAGCGGGUGAAAAGCCCGCUCGCCGGAAGACCAAGGGUUCCUGUCCAACGUUAAUCGGGGCAGGGUGAGUCGACCCCUAAGGCGAGGCCGAAAGGCGUAGUCGAUGGGAAACGGGUUAAUAUUCCCGUACUUGGUGUUACUGCGAAGGGGGGACGGAGAAGGCUAUGUUGGCCGGGCGACGGUUGUCCCGGUUUAAGCGUGUAGGUGUGUGUUCCAGGUAAAUCCGGUUCACUUUAACACUGAGGCGUGACGACGAGGCACUACGGUGCUGAAGCAACAAAUGCCCUGCUUCCAGGAAAAGCCUCUAAGCAUCAGGUAACAUCAAAUCGUACCCCAAACCGACACAGGUGGUCAGGUAGAGAAUACCAAGGCGCUUGAGAGAACUCGGGUGAAGGAACUAGGCAAAAUGGUGCCGUAACUUCGGGAGAAGGCACGCUGACACGUAGGUGAAGUGAUUUACUCAUGGAGCUGAAGUCAGUCGAAGAUACCAGCUGGCUGCAACUGUUUAUUAAAAACACAGCACUGUGCAAACACGAAAGUGGACGUAUACGGUGUGACGCCUGCCCGGUGCCGGAAGGUUAAUUGAUGGGGUCAGCGCAAGCGAAGCUCCUGAUCGAAGCCCCGGUAAACGGCGGCCGUAACUAUAACGGUCCUAAGGUAGCGAAAUUCCUUGUCGGGUAAGUUCCGACCUGCACGAAUGGCGUAAUGAUGGCCAGGCUGUCUCCACCCGAGACUCAGUGAAAUUGAACUCGCUGUGAAGAUGCAGUGUACCCGCGGCAAGACGGAAAGACCCCGUGAACCUUUACUAUAGCUUGACACUGAACAUUGAGCCUUGAUGUGUAGGAUAGGUGGGAGGCUUUGAAGUGUGGACGCCAGUCUGCAUGGAGCCGACCUUGAAAUACCACCCUUUAAUGUUUGAUGUUCUAACGUGGACCCGUUACCCGGGUUGCGGACAGUGUCUGGUGGGUAGUUUGACUGGGGCGGUCUCCUCC